CCUACGGGUGGCAGCAGUGGGGAAUAUUGGACAAUGGGGGGAACCCUGAUCCAGCCAUGCCGCGUGUGUGAAGAAGGCCCUCGGGUUGUAAAGCACUUUCAGUGAGGAAGAACGCCUGGUGGUUAAUACCCAUCAGGAAAGACAUCACUCACAGAAGAAGCACCGGCUAACUCCAGUGCCAGCAGCCGCGGUAAUACGGAGGGUGCGAGCGUUAAUCGGAAUUACUGGGCGUAAAGCGCGCGUAGGUGGCUUGAUAAGCCGGUUGUGAAAGCCCCGGGCUCAACCUGGGAACGGCAUCCGGAACUGUCAAGCUAGAGUGCAGGAGAGGAAGGUAGAAUUCCCGGUGUAGCGGUGAAAUGCGUAGAGAUCGGGAGGAAUACCAGUGGCGAAGGCGGCCUUCUGGACUGACACUGACACUGAGGUGCGAAAGCGUGGGUAGCAAACAGGAUUAGAUACCCGGGUAGUC
This 466-nucleotide ribosomal RNA is filed under the name Vreelandella stevensii. RNAcentral describes it as "partial 16S ribosomal RNA". It matches the Rfam family "Bacterial small subunit ribosomal RNA", at positions 338 to 795 of the family's 1533-position model. The record is from RNAcentral. Lineage: Bacteria; Pseudomonadati; Pseudomonadota; Gammaproteobacteria; Oceanospirillales; Halomonadaceae.